UACGUAGGGGGAGAGCGUUAUCCGGAUUCAUUGGGCGUAAAGCGCGCGUAGGCGGCCGCCUAAGCGGAACCUCUAACCCCGGGGCUCAACCUCGGGCCGGGUUCCGGACUGGGCGGCUCGAGUGCGGUAGAGGAGAGCGGAAUUCCCGGUGUAGCGGUGGAAUGCGCAGAUAUCGGGAAGAACACCGAUGGCGAAGGCAGCUCUCUGGGCCGUCACUGACGCUGAGGCGCGAAAGCUGGGGGAGCGAACAGG
Molecule: ribosomal RNA, 252 nt
Filed under: uncultured bacterium
Lineage: Bacteria
Description: partial 16S ribosomal RNA
Rfam family: Bacterial small subunit ribosomal RNA
Source: RNAcentral